Molecule: long non-coding RNA, 2201 nt
Filed under: Homo sapiens (human)
Lineage: Eukaryota; Metazoa; Chordata; Mammalia; Primates; Hominidae
Description: HSALNT0322339
Source: RNAcentral
AAGUGGGAGGAAGUGUCACAGCUCUUUUAUUUCUGCCACCCACAGCUUGGUGAGUAGGAGCAUUACAGCUCUUUUGCUCCCACAGUUCAGCAAAUUCUGAGUUCCUGUCCCAUGACCAAGAGGAAUGAGGAACAUGGACACCGGAGAAUGAGUAAGGCAGAGUAGAAUUUUAUUCAUCAGCGAGAGGGGACCUGAAAGCAGGUCGCCAUCUGUGAGGAUUAAAGUUAGGACCAAAUGCUGCUCAGAAAUUGUUUUAAUCUCAAAAGUAGUUGGCAAGUUUUCAGAGUUCAUUUUCAAGGCCUGGUGUAUGCAUUGGUUACAUGAAAACCGUGUGACAACCUUGGAAGUCUGAAAGAGCAGGAGAGAGGCUAAGCACACACAUAUUGUGAUUUUAAGAGUCUCAAGGUGAGAAGAAACAUCAGAAGCAGUUGAGAGACCAGGACGUGGGUCCUCAAAGGAUGAACAGAAGUUCUUUUGGAUAACAUUUUAAAAUGUUUCCUCCAGAGUUAUCUGCCUCAUUAACAAUGGUUUGAGUCUCAAGAGUCUCUCUUCGAUUUUACAAACAUGAUUUGUUGCUCUGCUAUAAAUGCAUGCUGCUCUAGUCCUUCAAUAAACCCACAACAUGUUUUCACCAUUUUGCCUGUAGACACUUUUUCUGCAGUGUUAACAACGUCACCAUUAUCAUCACUAUUAUCACAAUCACCUUGAUUCAAAGCCAUUUCACCAUCAGUCAAUGAAUGAAUAACUGGAACCUCAUGCCUCAUGAUCCGUGUUAGAAACUUGAAUACACACUUCUUUCAGCUUACUAAUAGACUCUAAAGCAGGGGUGUCCAAUCUUUUGGCUUCCCUGGACCACAUUGGAAGACCAAUUGUCUUGGGCCACGCAUAAUAUACACUAACAAUAAUGAUAGCUGAUGAGCUAAAAAAAAUUGCAGAAAAACUCAUAAUGUUUUAAGAAAGUUUAUAAAUUUGUGUUGGGCUGCAUUCAAAGCCAUCCUGGGCCUGUGGGCUGCAGAUUGCACAAGCAUGCUCUACAGGUGUAUUUUUUAUACAUAUAAGGAGGUCAGACAUCAUUUUUUUUUCUCACUUACCAUACAAAAUCCUUCAAAGUCAUGACCUUGUUUAUCGUUAUCACUGAACAUAGUCACAAGCCAGAGAUUGUGCCAGGCAUGCACAACUGUCUUUAUUCACUCUGUUCCAAGUAUUGGCAACAGCAUAGAUGGCAUCUUUCUUGCUAAACUCCUUUUGAAAACCUUCCACACGCUCACCCUGUUCACUGAUGCUAGCCUGCUGUUCAAGAAAGUGUUUUUAUAUUUGCUCUUCAUUGAUCUAAGGACACCCUAGUCACAUGGAUGAAUUAUGAAGUCACAUUUGGGAGAAAGUACGUGGCAUAACCAUUAUUUUUUAUGAGAAUUUCAGUUGUAGGAUGAGCAGAACAGCUGCUAAGGAAUAACAAACUCUUUCAGUUAUCAUCCAGUCCAGCUUUUCUGCAUAAGCAUGAGCCACUGGUAAAAAUGUUCAUGAAACCAUUUAGAAAGAUGUCCCUGGUGAGUCAUGCCUUUUUGCUAGCAUAACAAUGGACUGGUAAAAUAUUUACUCCUUGAAAACAAUGAGAAUUAAAACUUUUUCCUAUUACAGCAAAUUUACAGUAAUACUAAUACAUGGGUGAGCCAUUAACAUAUUCUAGCACAGUUAUUUGGCUGCUGCCAUUUUUAAUUACUUUACGGGCUCUUUUAUCAACUAUAGUCCGUGUCUUUCUGGAACAAUAAUCCCAAGACAGCAAUAUUUUAUCAGCCAAAUAGCCUUGUUCUGGCAUCAGAUUUUCAUCAGCGCAACCUUGGCAAACUUGUCAGAAUUUAUCAGUGGCUUUGUGAUCAACAGAUGUUUUAUUGUCACAAAUCUUUAAAAAUAUAAUGCUGCGUCUUUUCUUAAAUAUCUGCAACCAGCCUGUUGAAUGUUCAUACUUCCCUUCAAUUUUCAGUUGAUUGUGAUAGAUCCUUGCUCUUUUCAUGAUCAGCAUACCAUCAUGUCAUAUGUUCACCGUUUUGCUGAUGGAUCCACUCUUUUAAUACAUGAUUGAGAUGUUCAUUUUUAUUUUUCUGCAGUGCUUUUCUAUUUUUCAUUAACUUCUGUUCAUCACUUUUAACAUAGAACAUCAAUAGUUUAUCCUUUGGUUUCUUUGGGUCAUAUAUGGUGGACAU